GAGUUUGAUCCUGGCCUCAGAACGAACGCUGGCGGCAGGCUUAACACAUGCAAGUCGAGCGCCCCGCAAGGGGAGCGGCAGACGGGUGAGUAACGCGUGGGAAUCUACCCAUCUCUACGGAACAACUCCGGGAAACUGGAGCUAAUACCGUAUACGUCCUUAUGGAGAAAGAUUUAUCGGAGAUGGAUGAGCCCGCGUUGGAUUAGCUAGUUGGUGGGGUAAUGGCCUACCAAGGCGACGAUCCAUAGCUGGUCUGAGAGGAUGAUCAGCCACACUGGGACUGAGACACGGCCCAGACUCCUACGGGAGGCAGCAGUGGGGAAUAUUGGACAAUGGGCGCAAGCCUGAUCCAGCCAUGCCGCGUGAGUGAUGAAGGCCCUAGGGUUGUAAAGCUCUUUCAACGGUGAAGAUAAUGACGGUAACCGUACAAGAAGCCCCGGCUAACUUCGUGCCAGCAGCCGCGGUAAUACGAAGGGGGCUACCGUUGUUCGGAAUCACUGGGCGUAAAGCGCACGUAGGCGGAUACUUUACGUCAGGGGUGAAAUCCCGGGGCCUCAACCCCCGGAACUGGCCUUGAUACUGGGUAUCUGGAGCCCGGAAAAGGUGA
This 607-nucleotide ribosomal RNA is filed under the name uncultured bacterium. RNAcentral describes it as "bacterial SSU rRNA". It matches the Rfam family "Bacterial small subunit ribosomal RNA", at positions 9 to 660 of the family's 1533-position model. The record is from RNAcentral.